This 611-nucleotide ribosomal RNA is filed under the name Salmonella enterica subsp. enterica serovar Muenchen. Its description in RNAcentral is "partial 23S ribosomal RNA". It matches the Rfam family "Bacterial large subunit ribosomal RNA", at positions 2192 to 2802 of the family's 2925-position model. RNAcentral also lists the same sequence under 3 other names. The record is from RNAcentral. Lineage: Bacteria; Pseudomonadati; Pseudomonadota; Gammaproteobacteria; Enterobacterales; Enterobacteriaceae.
UUGAAAUACCACCCUUUAAUGUUUGAUGUUCUAACGUGGACCCGUUACCCGGGUUGCGGACAGUGUCUGGUGGGUAGUUUGACUGGGGCGGUCUCCUCCUAAAGAGUAACGGAGGAGCACGAAGGUUGGCUAAUCCUGGUCGGACAUCAGGAGGUUAGUGCAAUGGCAUAAGCCAGCUUGACUGCGAGCGUGACGGCGCGAGCAGGUGCGAAAGCAGGUCAUAGUGAUCCGGUGGUUCUGAAUGGAAGGGCCAUCGCUCAACGGAUAAAAGGUACUCCGGGGAUAACAGGCUGAUACCGCCCAAGAGUUCAUAUCGACGGCGGUGUUUGGCACCUCGAUGUCGGCUCAUCACAUCCUGGGGCUGAAGUAGGUCCCAAGGGUAUGGCUGUUCGCCAUUUAAAGUGGUACGCGAGCUGGGUUUAGAACGUCGUGAGACAGUUCGGUCCCUAUCUGCCGUGGGCGCUGGAGAACUGAGGGGGGCUGCUCCUAGUACGAGAGGACCGGAGUGGACGCAUCACUGGUGUUCGGGUUGUCAUGCCAAUGGCACUGCCCGGUAGCUAAAUGCGGAAGAGAUAAGUGCUGAAAGCAUCUAAGCACGAAACUUGCCCCGA